This 407-nucleotide ribosomal RNA is filed under the name Verrucomicrobiota bacterium. RNAcentral's name for it is "Verrucomicrobia bacterium partial 16S ribosomal RNA". It matches the Rfam family "Bacterial small subunit ribosomal RNA", at positions 355 to 776 of the family's 1533-position model. The record is from RNAcentral. Lineage: Bacteria; Pseudomonadati; Verrucomicrobiota.
UGGGGAAUAUUGGGCAAUGGGCGAAAGCCUGACCCAGCAACGCCGCGUGAAGUAUGAAGGCCUUCGGGUUGUAAACUUCUUUGAUCAGGGAAGAAACAAAUGACGGUACCUGAAAAACAAGCCACGGCUAACUACGUGCCAGCAGCCGCGGUAAUACGUAGGUGGCGAGCGUUAUCCGGAUUUACUGGAUGUAAAGGGCGUGCAGGCGGGCUGAUAAGUCAGAUGUGAAAUCCCCGAGCUUAACUCGGGAACUGCAUCUGAUACUGUUGGUCUUGAGUGCUGGAGAGGAUAGUGGAAUUCCUAGUGUAGCGGUAAAAUGCGCAGAUAUUAGGAGGAACACCAGUGGCGAAGGCGGCUAUCUGGACAGUAACUGACGCUGAGGCGCGAAAGCGUGGGUAGCAAACAGG